RNAcentral lists this long non-coding RNA (376 nucleotides) under Mytilus galloprovincialis (Mediterranean mussel). The record is from RNAcentral. Lineage: Eukaryota; Metazoa; Mollusca; Bivalvia; Mytilida; Mytilidae.
CUUUUCCAAACAAUGAUCAUUAUGUAUAUUGUUGACUUAUUUUUUUGUCGAUUCGUCCAUAUUUAUAUGUUUUUUUUCUUUCUCUCUCUCUAUUGAGGCAUAUAAUAGAAAGAUUUCAGAUUGAAUGUAUCAAAUUUUGAGUCCGACGGCCGUGAACUCAUGUUUUUACUCUUUAAACUUCGGGAACCACGUAAAAGGAUCAAUAUAUAAAUCUGUUAUUUUUCUCUACUGUUGAAGCAUAUGAUAAAAAGAUCAUAACAUGUCAUUUUUCAUAUCGCAUGUAUUAUCAGCCCUCGGUCAAUAUCAGCCCUCGAGCCAUGCGGCUCUUGGGCUGAUAUUGAACCUAGGGCUGAUAAUACAUGCGAUAUGAAAAAUG